AGUGAACGCUGGCGGUAGGCCUAACACAUGCAAGUCGAACGGCAGCACAGUAAGAGCUUGCUCUUACGGGUGGCGAGUGGCGGACGGGUGAGGAAUACAUCGGAAUCUACUUUUUCGUGGGGGAUAACGUAGGGAAACUUACGCUAAUACCGCAUACGACCUACGGGUGAAAGCAGGGGAUCUUCGGACCUUGCGCGAUUGAAUGAGCCGAUGUCGGAUUAGCUAGUUGGCGGGGUAAAGGCCCACCAAGGCGACGAUCCGUAGCUGGUCUGAGAGGAUGAUCAGCCGCACUGGAACUGAGACACGGUCCAGACUCCUACGGGAGGCAGCAGUGGGGAAUAUUGGACAAUGGGCGCAAGCCUGAUCCAGCCACACCGCGUGGGUGAAGAAGGCCUUCGGGUUGUAAAGCCCUUUUGUUGGGAAAGAAAAGCAGCAGGUUAAUACCCCGCUGUUCUGACGGUACCCAAAGAAUAAGCACCGGCUAACUUCGUG
RNAcentral lists this ribosomal RNA (492 nucleotides) under uncultured bacterium. RNAcentral's name for it is "partial 16S ribosomal RNA". It matches the Rfam family "Bacterial small subunit ribosomal RNA", at positions 29 to 507 of the family's 1533-position model. The record is from RNAcentral.